Molecule: ribosomal RNA, 495 nt
Filed under: uncultured Planctomycetota bacterium
Lineage: Bacteria; Pseudomonadati; Planctomycetota
Description: bacterial SSU rRNA
Rfam family: Bacterial small subunit ribosomal RNA
Source: RNAcentral
AGAGUUUGAUCCUGGCUCAGAAUGAACGUUGGCGGCAUGGAUUAGGCAUGCAAGUCGAGCGAGAAAUUUUAGUUUGAAGCUUCGGUUGAUUUCUAAAAUGGACAGCGGCGCAAGGGAGAGUAACGCGUAGUUAUCUACCCUGAGGUCUGGAAUAGCUGUGGGAAACUGCAGGUAAUACCAGAUAAUAUCUACGGAUCAAAGGUGUGAUUCCGCCUCAGGAGGAGACUGCGUACUACUAGCUUGUUGGUAGGGUAAUGGCCUACCAAGGCUUUGAUGGUUAGCGGGCGUGAGAGCGUGGCCCGUCUCACUGGGACUGAAACACUGCCCAGACACCUACGGGUGGCUGCAGUCGAGAAUCUUCGGCAAUGGGCGAAAGCCUGACCGAGCGAUGCCGCGUGCGGGAUGAAGGCCUUCGGGUUGUAAACCGCUGUCAGUAGGGAGGAAGGACUCGUGAAGAGCGAGUCUUGACCUAUCUUCAGAGGAAGUCCGGGCUAA